Hydractinia symbiolongicarpus is the source of this 515-nucleotide long non-coding RNA. RefSeq lists it as uncharacterized. The transcript has 2 exons. Lineage: Eukaryota; Metazoa; Cnidaria; Hydrozoa; Anthoathecata; Hydractiniidae. The record is from RefSeq and is a predicted model, not a curated record.
CCCGAGAAUGAAGACGCAAGAAGCGACUGAAAAUUUUUUUGAGAUUUGGAGAAGCCAGCCCAGUUUGUGGGAUGUUAAAUCCCCGUUUUAUAAGGACAGAAUCGAGAAGGCAAAAAGUUAUGAGAUAUUCAAAGGCAGACUAGGAAUGGAAGAGAAAUUAGUGAGGAGUAAAAUGAAUACACUACGGAGUUAAUUCAGCGCAGAAUUGAAGAAAGUAAACAACAGCAACAAAAGUGGAGCAGGACGAGAUGAUGUUUACGAAGGUUAAUGGCCAUACUUUCAGUCCUUGCUAUUCCUACGUGACUCCAUUGUCCCAAGAAAAACAACUUCUUCGAUGGUGGGUAUAAAUUUCAGACAAAUAUUUCUUGCCAUGGAACAGCACCAGUGGAGUUAAAGUACGCACAAAAUAUAUCCCUGAUAUCUUUCGCAUCAUUUCUGUAGUUGUUCAGAUGAGAUUACUCGCCGUACCCUCUUUCGGAACACCGCUCAUUCAAUCUCCGAUCCCAAGGAACUCU